CAAUACAAAGCUGUGUGCUUGGAGAUAGGCAUUUCAGUAAGGCUUUGAGCAGAGGAUUAUUGCGAUAGGGUGUUUCUAUGAACAACUGAGUGCAUUCUUCUUUGCGAGACUGCUGUUCAAGAUCCUGAAUGGUUUUCUCGCGCUGUUUAUCUUCUAUGGGUAAAUAGCCAUUGAAUUUAAAUUGCUGACCAUUGAGUCCACUGGCCAUUAAGGCUAAUAGAAUGGAAUUGGGUCCCACCAGAGGGCGAACAGGAUAGCCCGCUUCAUGUGCAAGUGCUACUAUGGUUUGUCCGGGAUCUGCAACGCCGGGGCAGCCUGCUUCACUUACUAAACCAAUUUUUUUCCCCUCCUUGAAUAGUUGUUUACAGCGUGUUUUUGUAUCGGGGUCCUCGACAUUGAUCCAUUCGUAAUUAUCAAUGACAAUGUCUUUGGAGAGCGAUUUGAAAUAUCGACGUGUAGUACGUUGGUUCUCUACCACAAAAACCUGGCAGGAUAGGAUAGCCUCCCACACAUAAGCAGGUAAGGCUUGUAGUCCUUCCUCAUGCAAGGGUGCGGGUAUAAGUAUUAACUGACUCAUACCUUUUUUACUUGUCUGACACUGAAUGUAGCGGCAAUGAUUGCAUACGCAGGGGCUAACAAAACAAACAAGUGCAUAGCAAAAAAUAAUAACCCAUUCCCGAUGGCCAACCCUUUAUGAUGGCUACAAAAAACAGCACUUUGCGCGGGCGUCAGUUGGUUGCGUGCAAAGGAGUAAUCCAGCAUAGAGAAGCCAAAGUAGUAACCUUGCAUAAAUAAUCCAAUCAAGGGAGUGAUCCAACCCACCACAGGUAUCAACGCAAGUAAUAUUAACCCACUAAAAUAAAAGGCUUCCAAUCCAAUAUUUCGAAGGGCUAAGCGAAUACCUCGUUGUGCAUCUUUCCAUACUUCAUCCCAUUGAAAGCUAUGCUCUUUGUUUUCCAAUAAUGCCUCGGUUUUAUCGUGACUGGGAAACAUGGGACUAAGUGCAAUGCCGAAGACACGGACUUGUAGCAAUACAAGUGGUAGGGGAGCGUUCUUUAUUGCGACGAAGGUGGACCGUAAGGACUACUGGAGUGUUAAGAAGUGAAGAUGCCGGCAUGAGUAGCGAUAAUGGGGGUGAGAUUCCCCCACACCGAUAGCCUAAGGUUUCCCCGGGAAGGUCAAUCCGCCGGGGGUUAGUCGGUCCCUAAGACGAGGCUGAGAGGCGUAGUCGAUGGGAAGCAGGUUUAUAUUCCUGCACCAUAUGCAUUGUGCGAUGGAGUGACGGAGAAGGAUAGUUGAAGCGGGGUGUUGGUAGUCCCCGUUCCGGAUGGUAGGCGUUGAGAGAUACAGGAAAAUCCGUAUUUUGAGCUGAGAGUCUGGGGGAUAUCAAUUUAGGUUGAUAGUAGGAGAUGAAUCCAGGCUUCCAAGAAAUAACUUCUAAGUUUAGAUGUGUAUGACCGUACCGCAAACCGACACAGGUAGGCUGGUAGAGAAUACUGAGGUGCUCGAGAUAACUCUCGUUAAGGAACUCGGCAAUAUACUCCUGUAACUUCGGGAGAAAGGAGCCCCAUCUGAUUUGAGUGUACAACAGAGGGUUGGAUGGGGGGCACAUAAAUGGGGGUAGCGACUGUUUACCAAAAACACAGGACUCUGCAAACUCGGAAGAGGAUGUAUAGGGUCUGACACCUGCCCGGUGCCGGAAGGUUAAGAGGACUUGUUAGCGCAAGCGAAGCUCGGAAUCGAAGCCCCGGUAAACGGCGGCCGUAACUAUGACGGUCCUAAGGUAGCGAAAUUCCUUGUCGGGUAAGUUCCGACCUGCACGAAUGGUGUAACGACUUCCCUACUGUCUCAACGAGAGUCUCGGCGAAAUUGUAGUGCCCGUGAAGAUGCGGGCUACCUGCGAAAGGACGGAAAGACCCCGUGAACCUUUACUGUAACCUGGCAUUGAACUUUGGUUCAAUAUGUGUAGGAUAGGUGGGAGACUGUGAGAUAUGGUCGCUAGACUGUAUGGAGUCGUCGUUGAAAUACCACCCUUGUUGAACUCGAGUUCUAACCGAGUGAGACAACACUUGAGACAUUGUCAGGCGGGCGGCUAUCGUGACUGGGAAAC
This 2110-nucleotide ribosomal RNA is filed under the name freshwater metagenome. RNAcentral's name for it is "bacterial LSU rRNA". The stretch from base 656 to 2110 matches the Rfam family "Bacterial large subunit ribosomal RNA", at positions 1 to 2284 of the family's 2925-position model. The record is from RNAcentral.